This 1383-nucleotide long non-coding RNA is filed under the name Homo sapiens (human). RNAcentral's name for it is "non-protein coding lnc-RNF217-3:1". The record is from RNAcentral. Lineage: Eukaryota; Metazoa; Chordata; Mammalia; Primates; Hominidae.
UAACUAACAUGCAGCAUUUAUUGAACCUUUUCCAUAUUUCAGUCACUUUACUAAGCACUUUGCUUUUAACUCAUCUAUUCCUCAUCAUAUUUUUUGAAAUAGGAAUUAACAUCCUCACCUUAUAGUCGAGGACACUAAGGCUUAAAGAGUUUAAGUAAUUCACUCACAUAAUUGCAUAAUUUUCAGAAGUAUUUUUGUCAAACAAAUAUAAUCUGGUAUUUGUUGUUUUUAAAAUUAGUAUCUACAUGACAGAAAAAGAAGAUAUAUGAAGAAAGUUCCUAUGGACAUACUGUAAAUAUGGUUUCCUCUGGGCAAUAAGACAGACUUACUCAACCACGAUGAAAUCAACUUCCAUCCCAGUUCUACAAUGUGGUGACUUUGUAUCUGAUACCGCAGUCUUUGUGUUGCCAGCGCUUAGUCCUCUGAAGAUGUACUUCAGUCUACUUGAGGAUCCCAAAGAGAUGACCAAGAAAACAAGCUCACUUCAGAACAGUUAGCAAUUUUCCAGCUACUUUAAGAGAUAAGAGAAAUUCUCUCAUACCUUUCAGUCAGCUGUUAAGUUUCAUGGUCCAUGUAAAGGGAGGAAUUGGUUACUGAAAAAUCAAAGGAUCUCUUUACUGCCAGUGCAUUUUUUUUUUACUAUUUAAACUUUUUUGUUAAAAAUUAAAACACAAACACACACACAUUGGCUUAGGCCUACACAGGGUCAGGAUCAUCAAUAUCACUGUCCUCCACCUCCACAAUUUGUCCCACUGUGAGGUCUUCAAUGGCAAUAACAUGCAUGGAGCUGUUAUCUCCUAUGAAAACAAUGCCUUCUUCUGGAAUUCCUCCUGAAGAACCCUCCUGAGGCUGUUUUACAGUUACUUUUUUUUAAAAAAAUAAUCAGAAGGAGUACACUCUAAAAUAACAAGUAUAAUAUAGUAAGUACAUAAACUAGAGUCAUUUAUUAUCAUUAUCAAGUAUUAUGUACUGUACAUAAUUGUGUGUGCUAUGCUUUUAUACGACUGACAGCACAGUAGGUUCAUUUGUGCCAGCAUCACCACAAAGACCUGAGUAAUGAGUUGCACUGUGAUGUUAAGAUGGCUACAACAUCACUAGGUGAUAGAAAUUUUUCAGCUCCAAUAAAACUACCAUCACAUAUGUGGUUCGUCAUUGACCAAAAUGCUGUCGUGCAGUGCACGCUUUAUUUUUAAGAGCUUAUCACAUAUUCAGCUAUGUUCAUCUUCAACAAUGUAAUACUUUAGUGCUCUGUAAAAAUUCUCUUUGUAAUUCUAUUCCUUGAGAGUCAUGAUACCUGCAUUCUGCCUUAGCUCUUUCACUUUGUAUAUAUGAGUAUUUACAUGUCGUAAAAUCCGAUUUCUCAUAUUCUUUUCAGCUCAGGAC